GGUGGUGGUGUACAAUGAGGAGAGAGAGACAGAUCUAGAGAGGGGUAAGGUAGGAGACUACAUCGGAUAAUACAGAGGAAGUAGUUACUUUUUAUUUCUUUUUUCUUUUGUUUUUUCUUUGUGGGGGUGGGAGUAGUUGUUCAAGGGCAAUUGGGAUUUCUACCAGGGCUUCCAAAGUAAAAGUAAUGGCCCCAAUCCCCAUUGCUGCCAGUCUGGACAUCAUAGCAGUUGGACUGCUCA
Molecule: long non-coding RNA, 240 nt
Filed under: Coffea arabica (coffee)
Lineage: Eukaryota; Viridiplantae; Streptophyta; Magnoliopsida; Gentianales; Rubiaceae
Description: long non-coding RNA (CARA_LNC007337)
Source: RNAcentral